GUGCUCGCUUCGGCAGCACAUAUACUAAAAUUGGAACAAUACUGAGAUUAGCAUGGCCCCUGAGCAAGGAUGACACAUGGGAAUCAGAUCAGGAAAUUUCAGAU
This is a small nuclear RNA of Ochotona curzoniae (black-lipped pika), 104 nucleotides long. Lineage: Eukaryota; Metazoa; Chordata; Mammalia; Lagomorpha; Ochotonidae. The record is from RefSeq and is a predicted model, not a curated record.